This 484-nucleotide ribosomal RNA is filed under the name uncultured bacterium. RNAcentral's name for it is "partial 16S ribosomal RNA". It matches the Rfam family "Bacterial small subunit ribosomal RNA", at positions 28 to 523 of the family's 1533-position model. The record is from RNAcentral.
AAUGAACGUUGGCGGCGCGGAUUAGGCAUGCAAGUCGUGCGGAAAGGCUCCUUCGGGAGUACUCGAGCGGCGAAAGGGAGAGUAACGCGUGGAUAUCUACCCCCUGGUCUGGGAUAGCGGCGGGAAACUGCCGGUAAUACCAGAUAAUGUCUGCGGACCAAAGGGGUGAUUCCCCCGGGGGAUGAGUUCGGGUCCUAUUGACUGGUGGGUAGGGUAAUGGCCUACCAAGGCACAAAUGGGUACCGGGUGUGAGGGCAUGGCCCGGCUCACUGGGACUGAGACACUGCCCAGACACCUACGGGGGGCUGCAGUCGAGAAUCUUCGGCAAUGGGCGCAAGCCUGACCGAGCGACGCCGCGUGCGGGAUGAAGGCCUUCGGGUUGUAAACCGCUGUCAGAGGGGAGGAAAUGCGUAGGAGUUCUCUCCGACGUUUGACCUAUCCUCAGAGGAAGUACGGGCUAAGUUCGUGCCAGCCGCCGCCGUAA